AACGCAAACAUCAAAUGCGAAGCUUAAUAUGUUGUAUGUCCCUAAAAGGUCACUGUAUUUUAAGAUGGCGCAUGCCAUAUGGAGCACCGGUCUGCUUCUUUUGUCUAAAAUAUUAAAAUAUAAAGCUAAUAAUAAUGCUUAGAAUAAAUGCUUGUUUGAAUUAUCAUUAAAAAAAAACAAAUUUGAGAAUGUGAUACAAGAAAUUUGAUAACUUAUAAGAUGAAAUAUCACACAUUGGGCCUUUAAAGUGAAACCAAGAGUACGUCUCCAUUUUAGGAGGGACUGAAUGCAUCCUGGGUAAUCAUUAUCAGAGUAAGAGCAGGAAAGUCCUGAAUUACAGGAACACUUCUGAGGUGGAUGAAGACUGACACACCUGCCGGUGGAAAAAGGAUUUCAACAAAAGUCGAGCCUAACUUAGGUUCAAAAUGUCACUUUUCAGCUUUUUGGUCCUUUUGGGGGCUGGGCUGGUGGUCAAGAGUGGUUUCCCUUACGUGUCUCCUUGUCUGCAUCCCUCCUCGGGUGACUCUUUGUGGUCCCCAGCCCCUUCCAGGUUUCCCUCAAGAACGCCACUCCCUGACCUACAUCUACACGGCCUUCUCCCAACCUGUGGAUCUCCCGGGUUUCCAUGAGUUCACGGCCAUGGGAAUGCUGGACAACAGGAUGAUUGACUACUAUGACAGCAAAGAGCAAAAAAAAAUUCCCAAACAGACGUGGAUGUCAGAGCAUCUUGAACAAGAGUAUUGGGAUAAAGGUACACAGUCCAGGAAGAGCAAGCAGCAGUGGUUCAAGGUCAACAUCGACAUCUUGAUGAAACGGAUGAGACAGAAUGACACGGAUACCCACGUUCUCCAGUGGAUGCACGGCUGUGAGGGUGAGAGUCAGGAGGAUGGUACCAUUAGGUUCAUCCGUGGGAUGGACAUGUACAACUAUGACGGAAAUGACUUCCUGUCCUUCGACGAUGACAACCAAGUUUGGGUAGCUACACUUGAUGCAGCUAAAGAAACCAAGAGGAAGUGGGAUGAUGUUCAAGUCCUGAAGGAAUACACCAAGGGUUACCUGGAGAAGGAGUGUAUGGACUGGAUGAGCAAGUUCAGGGACUACGGGAAAGAGCAGCUCCGAAAAGCCAGUAAGCCUGAUGUGCACCUGUUCUCACAAAAAAGCAAGAGUGAGAAAAACAUUAUCUUGACGUGCCUGGCCACUGGCUUCUAUCCUAAAGACAUCAUCCUGCAGAUCAAACGAAACGGUCGCAUCCUUACUGCAGACGAUGGACUGGAGACGUCUGGAAUUCGUCCAAAUGAGGACGACACCUUCCAGAGGAAAGACCGUGUUGAGAUUUUGAAGACAGAUUUGUCCACUUACACCUGUGAGGUUCAGCAUCCUGGCUCGCUUCUUCAUGUUCAAAAGGCCUGGGAUCACACUCUGCCUGUGGAGGAUGGCAGCACACCCAUUAUCAUCGCUGUUGUUGUUGUAGCAAGCUUUGUGGUUAUCGGAGCCAUUGUGGGAUUCGUCCUUUAUAGAAGGAAGGAGUGCAGAGACCGUUGUAAUGGGAAGAGUCAAUCCUCUACAGAUAGUUCUCCAGAUCCCUCUCCAGCUUCUUCUCUUGUCAAUAUGCGAAGUAAGUACACCUAUAUGUUUUGGAAACUGUUAUGUUGAUUCAUUCAUUUAUCUUCUGUAGCACUUAAUCUGGACUAAAGUCAGAAAAGGGGAGCUGGUUCCUGACUCCAGUAGAUGUUAACACCUCAUCUAAAGACAAAGCCAACAAUCCAAAGCCUGAUGAUGAGAAGAAGGCCUUGAUUGAAAGUUCUUCAGAUUCAUCUCCAGACUCAUCUCAGAAAACUUCUCCAGCUUCUUCUCUUACUAAUGUGAAAAGUUCUUCAGAUGAUUCUUCACAUGUUGAUGUAGAAGGUGACGGUGUCUGUUAGACCUGAGGUCUGGAUCCACGUCUGACCUCCCAUCCUACCUGUUUCUUCAAACUGAGGGUGUGAUGAAGGAACUGAGUAAAAAAGGAAACGUUGAAGAAUAAUUGUGAUACAUUAAUUGAAGGAAUGUGAUGAAAGGUAUGAAAACAAGAGUUUAUCUUAUUGUAAUAAGAUGAUUUAUUCCUGUGAUGUAAGUUCAACAUGUAACAAUAAAAGCACUUGAAGAUGGUGCUGUUUUAGAGGCGUAUUACAUGUAAAACUUGAGGAAAGUCCUCAGAUUAAGUGGAUGAAGGAUACAGACAAUAACGCAUGAAUGUUUUGCUGCUGGAGUGACAGAAAAAUUGUCACACAAUUCAGCACAUUCAUACAAACAUCGACCUGGAAUUUAAACAGAAGAAUAAACUUUCAUGUGACUUUUU
Molecule: non-coding RNA, 2338 nt
Organism: Nothobranchius furzeri (turquoise killifish)
Lineage: Eukaryota; Metazoa; Chordata; Actinopteri; Cyprinodontiformes; Nothobranchiidae
Source: RefSeq, a predicted model, not a curated record